UGCCUCAGUAACGGCGAGUGAAGCGGCAACAGCUCAAAUUUGAAAUCUGGCCGCAAGGUCCGAGUUGUAAUUUGCAGAGGAUGCUUUUGGCGAGGUGCCUUCCGAGUUCCCUGGAACGGGACGCCAUAGAGGGUGAGAGCCCCGUACGGUCGUGCCACCGAGCCUCUGUAAAGCUCCUUCGACGAGUCGAGUAGUUUGGGAAUGCUGCUCUAAAUGGGAGGUGUACGUCUUCUAAAGCUAAAUACCGGCCAGAGACCGAUAGCGCACAAGUAGAGUGAUCGAAAGAUGAAAAGCACUUUGAAAAGAGGGUUAAAAAGUACGUGAAAUUGUUGAAAGGGAAGCAUUCAUGACCAGACUUGGGCUUGGUUGAACAUCCGGCGUUCUCGCCGGUGCACUCUGCCAGCUCAGGCCAGCAUCAGUUUGCCCCGGGGGAUAAAGGCGGUGGGAAUGUAGCUCCCCUCGGGGAGUGUUAUAGCCCGCCGUGUAAUGCCCUGGGGCGGACUGAGGUUCGCGCUUCGGCACGGAUGCUGGCGUAAUGGUCAUCAAUGACCCGUCUUGAAACACGGACCAAGGAGUCGUCUUCGUAUGCGAGUGUUCGGGUGUCAAACCCCUACGCGUAAUGAAAGUGAACGUAGGUGAGAGCUUCGGCGCAUCACCGACCGAUCCUGAUGUUCUCGGAUGGAUUUGAGUAAGAGCAUACGGGGCCGGACCCGAAAGAAGGUGAACUAUGCCUGUAUAGGGUGAAGCCAGAGGAAACUCUGGUGGAGGCUCGCAGCGGUUCUGACGUGCAAAUCGAUCGUCAAAUAUGGGCAU
Molecule: ribosomal RNA, 813 nt
Filed under: Sarocladium bifurcatum
Lineage: Eukaryota; Fungi; Ascomycota; Sordariomycetes; Hypocreales; Sarocladiaceae
Description: LSU rRNA
Rfam family: Eukaryotic large subunit ribosomal RNA
Source: RNAcentral